This 300-nucleotide ribosomal RNA is filed under the name Triticum aestivum (bread wheat). Its description in RNAcentral is "partial small subunit ribosomal RNA". The record is from RNAcentral. Lineage: Eukaryota; Viridiplantae; Streptophyta; Magnoliopsida; Poales; Poaceae.
AUGGAAACUAAGUUUCUUCAAGUACGAGCAUGGGUUUCAUGUAAGCAAUCGGCUUCGGCGUUCCUUUUUAUAAAUCAUGAAAAGGUAGCUUUAGCAUUUUUGGCAUGUAGCAUUGUCUACAGUAAAAAUCUACCAGCAGCGACCAAGGCGAGGUGUAGAACGGGACUAAGAGUACUUGGCCGAGCAUCUUCUGCCAUUGUCGAAACUGAAGAACUCGGAGUUUAUAGAAUCCAUUUUAUAAAUCGUCACAUGUGCAUCUUGAUUACAUAUGGGAUUAUUAUCAGAUAUUGCCUCCAUUAA